Molecule: transfer RNA, 72 nt
Filed under: Triticum urartu
Lineage: Eukaryota; Viridiplantae; Streptophyta; Magnoliopsida; Poales; Poaceae
Rfam family: tRNA
About the family: Transfer RNA (tRNA) molecules are approximately 80 nucleotides in length.
Source: Rfam by way of RNAcentral
GGGUCCAUAUCUCUGUGGUAGAGCAAUUGACUGCAGAUCAAUAGGUCACCGGUUCGAACCCGGUUGGGCCCU